GGGUUGUGAGGUUAAGCGACUAAGCGUACACGGUGGAUGCCCUGGCAGUCAGAGGCGAUGAAGGGCGUGCUAAUCUGCGAUAAGCGCCGGUAAGGUGAUAUGAACCGUUAUAACCGGCGAUACCCGAAUGGGGAAACCCAGUGUGAUUCGUCACACUAUCAUUAACUGAAUCCAUAGGUUAAUGAGGCGAACCGGGGGAACUGAAACAUCUAAGUACCCCGAGGAAAAGAAAUCAACCGAGAUUCCCCCAGUAGCGGCGAGCGAACGGGGAGGAGCCCAGAGCCUGAAUCAGCAUGUGUGUUAGUGGAAGCGUCUGGAAAGGCGCGCGAUACAGGGUGACAGCCCCGUACACAAAAGCGCAUGUGCUGUGAGCUCGAUGAGUAGGGCGGGACACGUGGUAUCCUGUCUGAAUAUGGGGGGACCAUCCUCCAAGGCUAAAUACUCCUGACUGACCGAUAGUGAACCAGUACCGUGAGGGAAAGGCGAAAAGAACCCCGGCGAGGGGAGUGAAAAAGAACCUGAAACCGUGUACGUACAAGCAGUGGGAGCACCCUUUUGGGUGUGACUGCGUACCUUUUGUAUAAUGGGUCAGCGACUUAUAUUCUGUAGCAAGGUUAACCGCAUAGGGGAGCCGGAGGGAAACCGAGUCUUAAUUGGGCGUUAAGUUGCAGGGUAUAGACCCGAAACCCGGUGAUCUAGCCAUGGGCAGGUUGAAGGUUGGGUAACACUAACUGGAGGACCGAACCGAC
Molecule: ribosomal RNA, 749 nt
Filed under: Salmonella enterica subsp. enterica serovar Braenderup
Lineage: Bacteria; Pseudomonadati; Pseudomonadota; Gammaproteobacteria; Enterobacterales; Enterobacteriaceae
Description: bacterial LSU rRNA
Rfam family: Bacterial large subunit ribosomal RNA
Source: RNAcentral